CUUUAGAUCAUAUUCAGCUCGGUCUCAAAAAGACAUUGCUGCAAGGAUUAGAUGUUCCUGGUUUCUUUCUCCUGCCAACAGUUCAGUUUGUGUCUGCAACACUCCGCUGUGCUACCUGGCGGAAGGUACCUGGAUAUGGUGUUAGCUGAUAACACAGAGCAGUGACAAAUAAUGCCAUUAGACCAGAUUGUGUUUCACCUGCUGGAGAGGAAUGGUGCUUAGAAGUCUGUAAAAGUUGACUGAGAGAUUACGUGCUUUUAAUUAUUAAGGAGUUAUAUAAAACUCCUCCCCAAAUCCAUUUAAUGUUCCUGUAAUCUAUCUUCUCAAACAUGGCAAGUUCACCAAUCCACCUCUGGUCUCUGCUGAAGUUGUGGGGACUUUCAUGCAGAGGCAGUCUGUAGUACCUUCAGACCCCUUUGUCAGAAGUAAUGGAGAUGGACGAAAGAGAGUCUGCCAGUAUUCCUUGUACCACCCGGCAAACGUAGAGCAGGAGAAACAAUGUCUCCUCCUCAUGGCUCAGCCAGUGACAAGAAGAGAGGGGAUAUGCUAUUCACCUUCAACCUAAAGCAUGGUCAGAUGAGAUGGCCCAUCCACCUCUGUCCAGCCUGAGAAGGACCAGUGAAAGACAGGGACCUGACCAGACCAACCAGAUGAUGUCCCUGACUGAGGAGGUGAGACGUUUGGGCCCUGAGAGCUAUUUAUUAGAUAGGACCAUGGGGGUUUAUUUCAAGGCAGUGGGCUGAUGGCUAUACCACCACAAUUGAACAACAAAACUAGAGAGAUGGGCUGAGGGAGCUUGGCUGAAAAAGAUUUGCUAUAAAAUGAGUACUUUGUAUUGUACUGAAAUGGGUGGCCUCUGUCAAUUGGAGCUGCAUGGCACCUGUACAGAUGCUGACACAGCUGUAAAUUCUCAGUCAGGCAGAUUCUUGGCCUCCUAACGUUCCACGCUCCUUCGUCCAUUCCACUAUCUGGGAAAUCAGGAGUCAUGGAUUUCACUCUGAACGUGAGAAGAUUUGGACUAAUCCCAGUUCCUGGCAGUCUGGUGUUCCAGAGUUUGUGACUCUCAGCUGAACAGGCCAGUCAGUUAGGCCCUGGGCUCUGUAAUCAGUCAUGCGUUGUUCAGUCAUGGCUCCUGUGCUAUGAUAUGGUGGAAGCUAGGUCCAUUAAGAACCUAAAAGGGCCAUACUGGUACCUUGAAAUGGAUCGAUUAAUGAACGGGAAGCCAGUGCAGACUGCAAAGCACUGGUAUUACAUGUGAUCUUAGGAGAUAUGCUGCCAUGUGUUGGACAAGUUAUAACUUCUCCACAGACCUUUACCUUCAGCCCCAGAUAGUGCUUUGCAGUAAAACCAACUUGGAGGUGCUGAAUGCAUGGAUCACUGGGGCCUAGUCUUCUUCUGAGAGGAAAGGACAAUGUCUUGUUGCUAGCCAAAGAUGAAAGAAGGUGAUUUUGAUGACUUGCUAUUUGGGUAUCCAAGAGCAACCAUGAGUCUAGCAGGACCCUGUGGCUGCACACCAUUCUGACCAUGUGCCCUAGAGUUUAGGCUAGUGUAUUGCCUAUCAUUUCAUGGGAAACAUCAGCACACCCAUUGAAAUCCCCAGCGAGGAUGAAUCAAGAGGUAGAGAGAGCAGCGUCCAGGAGAGGAAGUCAGAAAACUGGGACAGUAAAAUGUAAGGAGUAUGUGGUGAUAGGCUGCAGUGUGAGAUGGCAGGGAAUGGGGAAGGGAAUGGGGAAGCAGAGGGUGAGAUGUUCAAAGAAGUGGGGAAAACAUCACUUCAGCCCUGGCUCUGAUUGCAGCAUCACUUCCUACUUCUCAGAGAUGUGACUGUUUAAGCAGGGAGACAUCCUGGGGAGGUAACUUCUGCAAGAUGAAAGAGGUCCAAGGGCAAGUGUCAGAGAUGGCAGAAAAAGCCAGUGGCAUUGUUUACAAAGAAGUGCUGAUAUGUCGUAUAAUGCUUAAUCACACUUUAUUUCAUUAUGAAAUACACUCAAGAGACCAAAUAACCAAUUUCAGUCAGGUUUAUUAAUAUGGUACAGGCAAAAGGUUCUAUAUGUUACCAGUCUCCUAAGAGCAGCCCUAGGCAGCGAUGUUAUAUUCACCUGACGCAGAAGGUGUACUCCCCCAUUUACACAUUUCAGCUGGUAUUAUUUAUAUGAUUUUACAAGUUACCCCUCUUCAACCCUAACUUGUUUUGUUGUUCCUUCCUUAUCUUUGUUCUGGAUAAUAACAUUCCAGGUACUGAUCCAGCAAGGGACUUUGCUAUUUAAGAUCUUGAAUGGAUGUAUCUUGAUUUUUGACAACUUUUCUAUUCACUUAUGCCAAAUGCUUACUUCUGCAAAUGUGAGGAAUUAUGGGAUACUUAGCAUAAGGGAACAGGAUUGUGGUGUAGGCUGGUUUACACUCACACACUGACAAAAUGUUGGUAUGGUGGGUCCUGUGCUUUUCUUGGCGGGGGGCUAGGAUGCCACCCCCUUGCCUCUGUUCUUGGGGCCCUGCUAGUGGCCUGGGAAGGUGGUAAAGGGAAGCAGGGCAGGAGUCUGGGUUUGCUCCUUGCUCUGAGCCCCAGCCCCUCUUUCCCCCUUGCGUAGGGUUACCCUCUGUCCUUGACACUGGGGGAGGGAGUCUCCCUGCUCUGCUGGGGUAGGGUCUCUCAUUCUCUGGUCUUCCAAUUCUCAGCAACACACCUCCAAACUCCAGUUCUUGCUCCACCCUGUCUGCCUGAAACAGUUUUUUUUUUAAUUCGGUUCCUUACAGGGUCUUAAUUGGCUACAGGUGCUCCAAUUAACCUGUAGUAACCUUCCCUAGUCUACAGGGAACCACGCCUUAAUUAGCCUAGGCUUUAUGCCCACCCACUUCCCAGCACCCAGUAAGACCACUUUCCCACUGCUCCCUGGCCAUGUUGUAUCACAAUUUAUAUAGGCAUGCAUUAACUACACCAUAAUUGGCCUACACCAUAUCUAUCUAAUAUAUAAUAGAUAGAAGUGAUGUGGAUAAUGCAUAUUAUUAGCAUGAUAUAUAUUUAUAUGCUUCUAGCAUCUAUAUUCGUGAACAGAGGACAGGACAAGGAGAGCUUUGCCAUUCAGGGAAUAGAUCUUGAGCCAAGCAGACUUGAUAAAAAAUGUAUAUGAUGGUUGGCUCACACAGAAGUUGGGGGGGCUUUUUUGAUUAGGGAAACAAGGACUACUAUGGGGUAAUGCUUUGUGGUUAUCUUGUGGAUAGGAGACACCAGUGAUGGAUUGGGGAGGCGGAGGGGGGGCAAAGACAGAUCUAGAGGAUCAAUGUGAAUUGAUUUGGAAUUGGAGCAGAAGAUCCCAUCACUAGAAUCAGACCAUCUCUGGAGUAAUGGAUGCUUGCACUGCCUAUGAAUGAAUAAAGAACUUCAAGGAUGUCAAUCAGCACCUUCCACCAGCACUAAGGAGUCGCUUUAGCAUUCAUUUGUAGAAACGUUGCAAAGUGAUACUUGGCUGACUGAGUCAUAGUCAGCUAUGUUUCAGUUUGCUGAGAACAUUAUCAUCUUUCUCUCUGAGGUAUCCCAUCAUACCUCUCAAGCUGCUGAGGCCUAAAAGUGGGACACAAUGUGUGGCAAAGACCCAAUAUGAGGGAAACAAAUAAAUUAUUUGGUCAGGAAACUUGAAAUACCAUGGGAUUCAUUUCUUCAGUGUAAAUAACUCCUUCUGUAACCUCUGGUUCAUAUUUUCAUUUCGUUUUCUUUCUUUGGAGGUAAAUAAUAUUCAGUGAUGAUAAAAGUGAGGGGAAACCAAAUGUAUGUAGAACAGAGGUAACUUU
Molecule: long non-coding RNA, 3786 nt
Organism: Chrysemys picta bellii (western painted turtle)
Lineage: Eukaryota; Metazoa; Chordata; Testudines; Emydidae
Source: RefSeq, a predicted model, not a curated record